AAAUUGAAGAGUUUGAUCAUGGCUCAGAUUGAACGCUGGCGGCAGGCCUAACACAUGCAAGUCGAGCGGUAGCACAGAGAGCUUGCUCUCGGGUGACGAGCGGCGGACGGGUGAGUAAUGUCUGGGAAACUGCCUGAUGGAGGGGGAUAACUACUGGAAACGGUAGCUAAUACCGCAUAAUGUCGCAAGACCAAAGUGGGGGACCUUCGGGCCUCAUGCCAUCAGAUGUGCCCAGAUGGGAUUAGCUAGUAGGUGGGGUAACGGCUCACCUAGGCGACGAUCCCUAGCUGGUCUGAGAGGAUGACCAGCCACACUGGAACUGAGACACGGUCCAGACUCCUACGGGAGGCAGCAGUGGGGAAUAUUGCACAAUGGGCGCAAGCCUGAUGCAGCCAUGCCGCGUGUGUGAAGAAGGCCUUCGGGUUGUAAAGCACUUUCAGCGGGGAGGAAGGCGGUGAGGUUAAUAACCUCACCGAUUGACGUUACCCGCAGAAGAAGCACCGGCUAACUCCGUGCCAGCAGCCGCGGUAAUACGGAGGGUGCAAGCGUUAAUCGGAAUUACUGGGCGUAAAGCGCACGCAGGCGGUCUGUCAAGUCGGAUGUGAAAUCCCCGGGCUUAACCUGGGAACUGCAUUCGAAACUGGCAGGCUAGAGUCUUGUAGAGGGGGUAGAAUUCCAGGUGUAGCGGUGAAAUGCGUAGAGAUCUGGAGGAAUACCGGUGGCGAAGGCGGCCCCCUGGACAAAGACUGACGCUCAGGUGCGAAAGCGUGGGGAGCAAACAGGAUUAGAUACCCUGGUAGUCCACGCCGUAAACGAUGUCGAUUUGGAGGUUGUGCCCUUGAGGCGUGGCUUCCGGAGCUAACGCGUUAAAUCGACCGCCUGGGGAGUACGGCCGCAAGGUUAAAACUCAAAUGAAUUGACGGGGGCCCGCACAAGCGGUGGAGCAUGUGGUUUAAUUCGAUGCAACGCGAAGAACCUUACCUGGUCUUGACAUCCACAGAACUUUCCAGAGAUGGAUUGGUGCCUUCGGGAACUGUGAGACAGGUGCUGCAUGGCUGUCGUCAGCUCGUGUUGUGAAAUGUUGGGUUAAGUCCCGCAACGAGCGCAACCCUUAUCCUUUGUUGCCAGCGGUUCGGCCGGGAACUCAAAGGAGACUGCCAGUGAUAAACUGGAGGAAGGUGGGGAUGACGUCAAGUCAUCAUGGCCCUUACGACCAGGGCUACACACGUGCUACAAUGGCAUAUACAAAGAGAAGCGACCUCGCGAGAGCAAGCGGACCUCAUAAAGUAUGUCGUAGUCCGGAUUGGAGUCUGCAACUCGACUCCAUGAAGUCGGAAUCGCUAGUAAUCGUAGAUCAGAAUGCUACGGUGAAUACGUUCCCGGGCCUUGUACACACCGCCCGUCACACCAUGGGAGUGGGUUGCAAAAGAAGUAGGUAGCUUAACCUUCGGGAGGGCGCUUACCACUUUGUGAUUCAUGACUGGGGUGAAGUCGUAACAAGGUAACCGUAGGGGAACCUGCGGUUGGAUCACCUCCUUA
RNAcentral lists this ribosomal RNA (1539 nucleotides) under Klebsiella pneumoniae. RNAcentral's name for it is "bacterial SSU rRNA". It matches the Rfam family "Bacterial small subunit ribosomal RNA". The record is from RNAcentral. Lineage: Bacteria; Pseudomonadati; Pseudomonadota; Gammaproteobacteria; Enterobacterales; Enterobacteriaceae.